Molecule: ribosomal RNA, 266 nt
Filed under: uncultured Streptococcaceae bacterium
Lineage: Bacteria; Bacillati; Bacillota; Bacilli; Lactobacillales; Streptococcaceae
Description: partial 16S ribosomal RNA
Rfam family: Bacterial small subunit ribosomal RNA
Source: RNAcentral
GUGCCAGCAGCCGCGGUAAUACGUAGGUCCCGAGCGUUGUCCGGAUUUAUUGGGCGUAAAGCGAGCGCAGGCGGUUAGAUAAGUCUGAAGUUAAAGGCUGUGGCUUAACCAUAGUACGCUUUGGAAACUGUUUAACUUGAGUGCAAGAGGGGAGAGUGGAAUUCCAUGUGUAGCGGUGAAAUGCGUAGAUAUAUGGAGGAACACCGGUGGCGAAAGCGGCCCUCUGGCUUGUAACUGACGCUGAGGCUCGAAAGCGUGGGAAGCAA